GCCGCGGUAAUACGGAGGGUGCAAGCGUUAAUCGGAAUUACUGGGUGUAAAGCGCACGCAGGCGGUUUGCUAAGUCAGAUGUGAAAUCCCCGGGCUCAACGUGGGAAAUGCAUCUGAUAGUGGCAAGCUUGACUAUCGUAGAGGGGGCUAGAAUUCCAGGUGUAGCGGUGAAAUGCGUAGAGAUCUCGAGGAAUACCGGUGGCGAAGCCGGCCCCCUGGACGAAGACUGACGCUCAGGUGCGAAACCCUGUGGAGCAAACC
RNAcentral lists this ribosomal RNA (261 nucleotides) under uncultured bacterium. Its description in RNAcentral is "partial 16S ribosomal RNA". It matches the Rfam family "Bacterial small subunit ribosomal RNA", at positions 514 to 774 of the family's 1533-position model. The record is from RNAcentral.